AUGGGUGUGUAUGUGUGUGCGAUCGUGAGAGAAGCCAGGAGAGAGCUUUUCCCCUUAAGAACCCUAACAUACUAAAUCCUUCAAAUUAAAGAGGAGAUUGAAGGCUAGUGGAAUGCAUGGAUUAAGAAUGAUGAUCCCCUAAGCAUUUCCUACAUCAAGAUGGUAAUGAGAACGAGAGUAAAGGAAAGCUUGAGUCAUACCCAAGAUAAAGUGACGAAAAAUCAAGGUAAGUUCUUUUGAACUUUAUUUACUCUACUAGUAGAUUUAUGAAUGAUAUUAAUUGAUAAUACAAUUCGUGCAAAUUCCUUUAUAGAUAAAGAUUGGUUAGAUGUAAGAGUUUAUGUCAAAAAAAAAAAGGUUUUAGAAGUUAUGUUGUAAUGAAUGCGAAAUAGCAAAUCCCUUGCGGAUUUGCGGAUUUGGUUAUGCUAAUGAAGGUUAUGUUAAGUCAUUCAAGUCGACCGGUUCUAGUUAGACAAGUCGAGUAAAGAUAAGCUACCACCCGUUUUGAAUGGGUGGUCAUGAAUGCUAUGACGAAUGCUUGAAAUUUAAUCCGUUAUACGGAUGGAAAGAAAGAAUUAUGUUGAAAGCGAUUAACCCGAUGUUACCGGGUUGUAAGUGAUAAGCUUGAACCUCAUUAUGAGGGUAUAUGCCAUUACCCAUUUAGUUGGGUAAAUCGAAUGCGUAGAAAUAAUGAAAGCAUAUAAACGAAUGAAGCUAAUAUAUUGUUACAUCGAGUUAAAUGAGUAUUACGGCUAACUUUUGAAGUCUUGUUAUUGAAUGUAGGUAAUCCUCACUUUAGGCGAUUUGGAGAAUUGGAGCGAGCACGUGUCCAUGUCAUGUUAUACCAAACGCUUCCGCUAGAUUAUUCUCAUCCUUUUGGUCCAUGACUUGUUAUUUUGUCCAACUUUGUUAGUAGUUGUACAUUUGUAAAACUUGUCGUCUUUGCUUUUGGUAGUUUUAUGUCAACGGGUCGUAGAAUGUUAUUUGAAUGAUUAUGUUAAAACCAGGGGGCACAUUCGUUUUACGAACGGGUCAUGCCCAAUUU
RNAcentral lists this long non-coding RNA (1045 nucleotides) under Helianthus annuus (common sunflower). RNAcentral's name for it is "hypothetical non coding rna". Lineage: Eukaryota; Viridiplantae; Streptophyta; Magnoliopsida; Asterales; Asteraceae. The record is from RNAcentral.